RNAcentral lists this ribosomal RNA (254 nucleotides) under uncultured bacterium. RNAcentral's name for it is "partial 16S ribosomal RNA". It matches the Rfam family "Bacterial small subunit ribosomal RNA", at positions 524 to 777 of the family's 1533-position model. The record is from RNAcentral.
UACGAAGGGGGCUAGCGUUGUUCGGAAUUACUGGGCGUAAAGCGCACGUAGGCGGACUACUAAGUCAGGGGUGAAAUCCCGGGGCUCAACCCCGGAACUGCCUUUGAUACUGAUAGUCUCGAGUCCGGAAGAGGUGAGUGGAACUGCGAGUGUAGAGGUGAAAUUCGUAGAUAUUCGCAAGAACACCAGUGGCGAAGGCGGCUCACUGGCCCGGUACUGACGCUGAGGUGCGAAAGCGUGGGGAGCAAACAGGG